This 336-nucleotide ribosomal RNA is filed under the name uncultured beta proteobacterium. RNAcentral describes it as "bacterial SSU rRNA". It matches the Rfam family "Bacterial small subunit ribosomal RNA", at positions 9 to 347 of the family's 1533-position model. The record is from RNAcentral. Lineage: Bacteria; Pseudomonadati; Pseudomonadota; Betaproteobacteria.
GAGUUUGAUCUUGGCUCAGAUUGAACGCUGGCGGAAUGCUUUACACAUGCAAGUCGAACGGCAGCACGGGGGCAACCCUGGUGGCGAGUGGCGAACGGGUGAGUAAUACAUCGGAACGUGCCCAGUCGUGGGGGAUAACGUAGCGAAAGCUACGCUAAUACCGCAUACGAACUCUGGUUGAAAGCGGGGGAUCGCAAGACCUCGCGCGAUUGGAGCGGCCGAUGGCAGAUUAGGUAGUUGGUGGGGUAAAGGCUCACCAAGCCGACGAUCUGUAGCUGGUCUGAGAGGACGACCAGCCACACUGGGACUGAGACACGGCCCAGACUCCUACGGGGA